ACUCUCUUUCACGCCAAAUUAAGAGGAGAAGAAAGAGAAAGAUGAUGCUUAACUCCAAAGACCCAAGGAUUCAUGCAAAUUUCUUCUAGCAAAUCACAAACCCAUCAUCUAGUAUCAAGUUGAAGUGUUUUGGGUGUUUGGAGUUGAGGAGGAGGGGUGAAGGAUACUCGGUGGCCGAAAAAGAAGACCGGUCAAUCAUGCUCGUUGAGCAAACACAAGUCUUCUCAACAACGAGCAGACAUGGUCUGCACUUUCAAGAGCAGAGCCAAGGCAGACCAGCCAGUUGUUUGGGGGCCGAUGGGUUGGCCUGGAUCGUACGAGUUGUGGAUUUCGGGAAAUAGUGGACUAAACGCAUAAACGACACGUAUAUUCAUUUAUUUUCUUUUGUGCUUAUUUAGAAAGCUAUCGAGGUGAGUUCCCGUAUUACCUUCGUGUAUUUAUAUUUUAAUAUCAAAUUGUAUGAUUUAUGAAUGUCCUAAUUUCUAAAACAUACUUUCGAAACUACUUUGGGAAUUUCAAUUGAUUUUAAAGGAAUUAUCUAAGUUAUGUAAGACUCCAGAUUUUGGUUUUAAAAGCAAGAACUCAUCAAAGUUUAAAUUGUUGUUUGGUUUGUAUGGAUGUAUGGUUUACUCUGACUUGUACAUUGGUUGUGGUUUGAGAUGCUAGUCAUAUGUGGUGUCUAGUAUUCUUAGAGUUAGGGAUUGUGUGGAUUUUAACUUGUGCCUUGUUUUUAGACUCGUCGACUACUCGUGCUUCAGAGUCUGCGCAAGGUUAGUUUGCUUGCCAGGAUUAUCACAUGACUUCGCAAGAAAUGAGUUUGUAGUUCUAUUUACCGCAGCUACUCGAUAGGCAUUAUCGAGAUUGUGGCUGACAGAAUGUUUGGCUUAUUUUAGGAUUGACAAGGAUUUAUUACCGUCUACUUUGAAUUAUACUUUGAGUUUCAUUUCAAUACUGUUAUUCCAUAAUCUUAUGUAUAUUAGUAUGAAAGGAUUUCAGGUUUUAAAGGUUUUAAACUUAAUAAAUGUAAAUAGUACUAUGAACUCAUCUCAGUAUAUCUGACCCCGUUGGUUUCCCCAUUUUCCAGGUUUAUGAUUUUAAGAGUUUUGGUUGAUCUCCAAACUUUUUGAUUCUUCA
Molecule: long non-coding RNA, 1134 nt
Organism: Mercurialis annua (annual mercury)
Lineage: Eukaryota; Viridiplantae; Streptophyta; Magnoliopsida; Malpighiales; Euphorbiaceae
Exons: 3
Source: RefSeq, a predicted model, not a curated record